UCGUGAUGUUUAACUCAUGAA
RNAcentral lists this non-coding RNA (21 nucleotides) under Caenorhabditis elegans. The record is from RNAcentral. Lineage: Eukaryota; Metazoa; Nematoda; Chromadorea; Rhabditida; Rhabditidae.